RNAcentral lists this ribosomal RNA (468 nucleotides) under uncultured bacterium. Its description in RNAcentral is "partial 16S ribosomal RNA". It matches the Rfam family "Bacterial small subunit ribosomal RNA", at positions 28 to 507 of the family's 1533-position model. The record is from RNAcentral.
GACGAACGCUGGCGGCGUGCUUAACACAUGCAAGUCGAACGGAAAGGCUCUGCUUUUGUUGGGUGCUCGAGUGGCGAACGGGUGAGUAACACGUGAGUAACCUGCCCUUGACUUUGGGAUACCUUCAGGAAACUCGGGCCAAUACCGGAUAGGAGCUCCUGCUGCAUGGUGGGGGUUGGAAAGUUUUGGCGGUUGGGGAUGGACUCGUGGCUUAUCAGCUUGUUGGUGGGGUAGUGGCUUACCAAGGCUUUGACGGGUAGCCGGCCUGAGAGGGUGACCGGCCAAAUUGGGAUUGAGAUACGGCCCAGACUCCUACGGGAGGCAGGAGUGGGGAAUAUUGCAGAAUGGGCGGAAGCCUGAUGCAGCAACGCCGCGUGCGGGAUAACGGCCUUCGGGUUGUAAACCGCUUUCGCCUGUGGCGAAGCGUGAGUGACGGUAAUGGGUAAAGAAGCACCGGCUAACUACGUG